Molecule: ribosomal RNA, 841 nt
Filed under: Bacillus sp. (in: firmicutes)
Lineage: Bacteria; Bacillati; Bacillota; Bacilli; Caryophanales; Bacillaceae
Description: bacterial SSU rRNA
Rfam family: Bacterial small subunit ribosomal RNA
Source: RNAcentral
AGUCCAAAAGAGGAAAGUGAAAUUCCACGCCUAGCGGCGAAAUGGGUAGAGAUGUGGGAGGAACCCCCGUUGCGAAGGCGUUUUUUUGUUCUGUAACUGACGCUGAGGCGGAAAGCGUGGCGGAGCAAACUGGGAUUAGAUACCCUGGUUAUUCCACCCCGUAAAACGAUGAGUGCUAAGUCUUAGAGGGUUUCCGCCCUUUUAGAUGCUGCAGCAAAACGCAUUAAGCACUCCGCCUGGGGAGUACGGCCGCAAGGCUGAAACUCAAAGGAAUUGAGAGGGUGGCCCGCCACACAGCGGUGGAGACAUGUGGUUUAAUUCGAAGCAACGCGAAGAACCUUACCAGGUCUUGACAUCUCCUGACAACCCUAGAGAUAGGGCGGUUCCCCUUCGGGGGACAGGAUGACAGGUGGUGCAUGGUUGUCGUACAGCUCGUGUCGUGAGAUGUUGGGUUAAGUGCCCGAGCAACGAGCGCAACCCUUGAUCUUACGUUGCCAGCAUUCAGCUUGGGCACUCUAAGGUGACUGCAGCGGUGACAAACCGGAGGAAGGUGGGGAUGACGUCAAAUCAUCAUGCCCCUUAUGACCUGGGCUACACACGUCGCUACAAUGUGAUGUGAUAGCAAAGGGCUGCAAGACCGUCGAGGUUAAGCGAAUCCCAUAAAACCAUUCUCAGUUCAGGAUUGCAGGCUGCAACUCGCCUGCAUGAAGCUGUGAAUCGCGUAGUAAUCGCGGAUCAGCAUGCCGCGGUGAAUACGUUCCCGGGCCUUGUACACACCGCCCGUCACACCACGAGAGUUUGUAACACCCGAAGUCGGUGGGGUAACCUAUCGAGCGCAGCC